RNAcentral lists this ribosomal RNA (1142 nucleotides) under Acinetobacter baumannii. RNAcentral's name for it is "partial 23S ribosomal RNA". It matches the Rfam family "Bacterial large subunit ribosomal RNA", at positions 1 to 1186 of the family's 2925-position model. The record is from RNAcentral. Lineage: Bacteria; Pseudomonadati; Pseudomonadota; Gammaproteobacteria; Moraxellales; Moraxellaceae.
GUUGUAUAGUCAAGUAAUUAAGUGCAUGUGGUGGAUGCCUUGGCAGUCAGAGGCGAUGAAAGACGUGAUAGCCUGCGAAAAGCUCCGGGGAGGCGGCAAAUAUCCUUUGAUCCGGAGAUGUCUGAAUGGGGGAACCCACCUACUUUAAGGUAGGUAUUGCAACAUGAAUACAUAGUGUUGCAAGGCGAACGAGGGGAAGUGAAACAUCUCAGUACCCUUAGGAAAAGAAAUCAAUUGAGAUUCCCUCAGUAGCGGCGAGCGAACGGGGAUCAGCCCAUUAAGUUAUGUGUGUUUUAGUGGAACGCUCUGGGAAGUGCGAACGUAGAGGGUGAUAUUCCCGUACACGAAAGGGCACACAUAAUGAUGACGAGUAGGGCGAGGCACGUGAAACCUUGUCUGAAUAUGGGGGGACCAUCCUCCAAGGCUAAAUACUCCUGACUGACCGAUAGUGAACCAGUACCGUGAGGGAAAGGCGAAAAGAACCCCUGUGAGGGGAGUGAAAUAGAUCCUGAAACCGCAUGCAUACAAGCAGUGGGAGCACCUUCGUGGUGUGACUGCGUACCUUUUGUAUAAUGGGUCAGCGACUUAUAUUCAGUAGCAAGGUUAACCGUAUAGGGGAGCCGUAGAGAAAUCGAGUCUUAAUAGGGCGUUUAGUUGCUGGGUAUAGACCCGAAACCAGGCGAUCUAUCCAUGAGCAGGUUGAAGGUUGGGUAACACUAACUGGAGGACCGAACCCACUGUCGUUGAAAAGCCAGGGGAUGACUUGUGGAUAGGGGUGAAAGGCUAAUCAAGCCUGGUGAUAGCUGGUUCUCCCCGAAAGCUAUUUAGGUAGCGCCUCGGACGAAUACCAUAGGGGGUAGAGCACUGUUUCGGCUAGGGGGUCAUCCCGACUUACCAAACCGAUGCAAACUCCGAAUACCUAUGAGUACUAUCCGGGAGACAGACUGCGGGUGCUAACGUCCGUAGUCAAGAGGAAAACAAUCCAGACCGCCAGCUAAGGCCCCAAAAUCAUAGUUAAGUGGGAAACGAUGUGGGAAGGCAUAGACAGCUAGGAGGUUGGCUUAGAAGCAGCCACCCUUUAAAGAAAGCGUAAUAGCUCACUAGUCGAGUCGGCCUGCGCGGAAGAUGUAACGGGGCUAAAA